Molecule: ribosomal RNA, 253 nt
Filed under: uncultured Eubacteriales bacterium
Lineage: Bacteria; Bacillati; Bacillota; Clostridia; Eubacteriales
Description: uncultured Clostridiales bacterium partial 16S ribosomal RNA
Rfam family: Bacterial small subunit ribosomal RNA
Source: RNAcentral
UACGGAGGAUGCGAGCGUUAUCCGGAUUUACUGGGUGUAAAGGGAGCGUAGACGGCAGCGCAAGUCUGGAGUGAAAUGCCGGGGCCCAACCCCGGAACUGCUUUGGAAACUGUGCGGCUGGAGUGCAGGAGAGGCAGGCGGACUUCCUAGUGUAGCGGUGAAAUGCGUAGAUAUUAGGAGGAACACCAGUGGCGAAGGCGGCCUGCUGGACUGUAACUGACGUUGAGGCUCGAAAGCGUGGGGAGCAAACAGG